GACGAACGCUGGCGGCGUGCCUAAUACAUGCAAGUCGAGCGAAUUUACGAGAGCUUGCUCUCGUAAAUUAGCGGCGGACGGGUGAGUAACACGUGGGCAACCUGCCUAUAAGACUGGGAUAACUUCGGGAAACCGGAGCUAAUACGGGAUAAUUCACAUCUACUCAUGUAGAUGUGCUGAAAGACGGUUUCGGCUGUCACUUAUAGAUGGGCCCGCGGCGCAUUAGCUAGUUGGUGAGGUAACGGCUCACCAAGGCCACGAUGCGUAGCCGACCUGAGAGGGUGAUCGGCCACACUGGGACUGAGACACGGCCCAGACUCCUACGGGAGGCAGCAGUAGGGAAUCUUCCGCAAUGGACGAAAGUCUGACGGAGCAACGCCGCGUGAGUGAUGAAGGUUUUCGGAUCGUAAAACUCUGUUGUUAGGGAAGAACAAGUACCAGAGUAGCUGCUGGUACCUUGACGGUACCUAACCAGAAAGCCACGGCUAACUACGUGCCAGCCGCCGCGGUAA
RNAcentral lists this ribosomal RNA (512 nucleotides) under uncultured bacterium. Its description in RNAcentral is "partial 16S ribosomal RNA". It matches the Rfam family "Bacterial small subunit ribosomal RNA", at positions 28 to 523 of the family's 1533-position model. The record is from RNAcentral.